CUAAGGGAGCAAGUCGAGCGAAUCAAUGGGAGCUUGCUCCCUGAGAUUAUUGCCGGACGGGUGAGUAACACGUGGGUAACCUGCCUGUAAGACUGGAUAACUUCGGGAAACCGGAGCUAAUACCGGAUAAUUCUUUUCUACACAUGUAGAAAAGCUGAAAGACGGUUUCGGCUGUCACUUACAGAUGGGCCCGCGGCGCAUUAGCUAGUUGGUGAGGUAAUGGCUCACCAAGGCAACGAUGCGUAGCCGACCUGAGAGGGUGAUCGGCCACACUGGGACUGAGACACGGCCCAGACUCCUACGGGAGGCAGCAGUGGG
Molecule: small RNA, 318 nt
Filed under: uncultured bacterium
Lineage: Bacteria
Description: bacterial SSU rRNA
Rfam family: Bacterial small subunit ribosomal RNA
Source: RNAcentral